RNAcentral lists this ribosomal RNA (627 nucleotides) under Escherichia coli. RNAcentral's name for it is "bacterial SSU rRNA". It matches the Rfam family "Bacterial small subunit ribosomal RNA", at positions 880 to 1507 of the family's 1533-position model. Lineage: Bacteria; Pseudomonadati; Pseudomonadota; Gammaproteobacteria; Enterobacterales; Enterobacteriaceae. The record is from RNAcentral.
GUACGGCCGCAAGGUUAAAACUCAAAUGAAUUGACGGGGGCCCGCACAAGCGGUGGAGCAUGUGGUUUAAUUCGAUGCAACGCGAAGAACCUUACCUGGUCUUGACAUCCACGGAAGUUUUCAGAGAUGAGAAUGUGCCUUCGGGAACCGUGAGACAGGUGCUGCAUGGCUGUCGUCAGCUCGUGUUGUGAAAUGUUGGGUUAAGUCCCGCAACGAGCGCAACCCUUAUCCUUUGUUGCCAGCGGUCCGGCCGGGAACUCAAAGGAGACUGCCAGUGAUAAACUGGAGGAAGGUGGGGAUGACGUCAAGUCAUCAUGGCCCUUACGACCAGGGCUACACACGUGCUACAAUGGCGCAUACAAAGAGAAGCGACCUCGCGAGAGCAAGCGGACCUCAUAAAGUGCGUCGUAGUCCGGAUUGGAGUCUGCAACUCGACUCCAUGAAGUCGGAAUCGCUAGUAAUCGUGGAUCAGAAUGCCACGGUGAAUACGUUCCCGGGCCUUGUACACACCGCCCGUCACACCAUGGGAGUGGGUUGCAAAAGAAGUAGGUAGCUUAACCUUCGGGAGGGCGCUUACCACUUUGUGAUUCAUGACUGGGGUGAAGUCGUAACAAGGUAACCGUAGGG